Molecule: ribosomal RNA, 440 nt
Filed under: uncultured bacterium
Lineage: Bacteria
Description: partial 16S ribosomal RNA
Rfam family: Bacterial small subunit ribosomal RNA
Source: RNAcentral
CCUACGGGUGGCAGCAGUGGGGAAUAUUGCACAAUGGGGGAAACCCUGAUGCAGCGACGCCGCGUGAGUGAAGAAGUAUUUCGGUAUGUAAAGCUCUAUCAGCAGGGAAGAAACAGACGGUACCUGAGUAAGAAGCCCCGGCUAACUACGUGCCAGCAGCCGCGGUAAUACGUAGGGGGCAAGCGUUAUCCGGAUUUACUGGGUGUAAAGGGAGCGUAGACGGCGACGAAAGUCUGAAGUGAAAGCCCGUGGCUUAACCACGGAACUGCUUUGGAAACUGUUUUGCUGGAGUGCAGGAGAGGUAAGCGGAAUUCCUAGUGUAGCGGUGAAAUGCGUAGAUAUUAGGAGGAACACCAGUGGCGAAGGCGGCUUACUGGACGGUAACUGACGUUGAGGCUCGAAAGCGUGGGGAGCAAACAGGAUUAGAUACCCCUGUAGUC